RNAcentral lists this unclassified non-coding RNA (204 nucleotides) under Hevea brasiliensis (rubber tree). Lineage: Eukaryota; Viridiplantae; Streptophyta; Magnoliopsida; Malpighiales; Euphorbiaceae. The record is from RNAcentral.
GUUUCUAAUGGUAAGACAAUUGGAAGCAGAACGUCUUUUGUUCCACCACCAUUCAGCAGUUCCUUCUCCUCCACUGGUAUACCUGCUUCAUCUGUAGUUUCGGAAGCUCUGCAGGUUUCUCCUGGAAGGGUUCUGGUUCCUGCAAUUGUUGAUCAGGCUCAGGGACAAGCACUAGCUGCUUCCAAUUGUCUUACCAUUAGAAAC